Non-coding RNA from Acyrthosiphon pisum (pea aphid), 46 nucleotides. The record is from Rfam. Lineage: Eukaryota; Metazoa; Arthropoda; Insecta; Hemiptera; Aphididae.
UCGGAGGAUUUUUUAAAAUCCACAAAUAGUUCAUAUUAUACAAUUU